CGGAGGAACCACAGAAAAAAAUUCUCUUUACGCAAAAAAACUAAGCAUCAUUAAGAAUGAGGUAGAGGUUCCAUCGGUACACAGUUUAAAACUUAGAAACAAAUGUGAUUUUCUGAAGCCAAAAGAAGCACCACCUAGAGUACAGAAAAAUAAUCCAGAAAAGAAAUCAAAUGAGAAAACAGAGAAAAUAAAUAGACAGGAAAAUGAAUUUAAGGAAAAGGCAGAAUAGGGAAGCAGGAAGAAAAAGGAAUCUACGAAAAUGGAACAGAAAGAAAGACAGAAUUUAGCAUAGGAGGAAAGCAGGAAGGCAAAGGAAGUGCGGCAGAAUGGCAAACAGAACUUAGCAGAGAAAUUAAGCAGAAAGGAAAAGGAAUUAAAGAAAAUGGGACAGAAGGGAAAACAGAAUUUUUAAAAGUAUUGAAGUAGAGUGUUUCAUGGAAGCUCGCAGGCUCUGUGAAUCGGUGAAAAAGGCAGCGAAGGGAAGCACGGAGGAAAAGGCAAAGGAGGAAAGGAAGGAAAAGGAAUCAAAGGAAAUAGGGCAGAAGGGAAAACGGAAUUUAGUAGAGGAGGAAGGCAAGAAGGAAAAGGAAUCAAAGGAAAUGAGACAGACAGAGGAGGGAAGCAGGUAGGUUAAGGAAUCAAAGGAAAUGGGACAGAAUUGAAAACAAAAUUUAGCAGAGGAGGGAAGCAUGAAGGAAAAGAAUUCCAAGGGAUUAGGACAUAAGGGAAAGGAGAAUUUAAAAAGUAUCAAAGCAGAGUGGUUUAUGGAAGCUUUCAGGCUCCGUGAGCAGAAAGAGAAUCGUUGUGAAACGUAAAUAAAGAGGCGAAACAAAACCUCUCAGACAAAAUUAAUAGUGGCGAACUUCUAGCGGUUGGCCACGUAGACGUUGCAAAUCAGAAGACUCAUGCUGGAGGCGGAAUUUGGUUAUUAAAACGUGAUUACGAUUCUGUAAAAUUUAGAAAAUCUAAACGUUCAGAAAUGUUUAUUAAAAAUAUAGUAGUAAAAAUUUUUUCUGUAGAAACCUUAAAUCAAUGAAGUGUCGCGGGAGAAUGCAGUAACGCAUACAAAAACAGCGUGAAGAGGCCUUCUUCAGAUAUAAAAAAAUUAAAUGCUG
Long non-coding RNA from Belonocnema kinseyi, 1115 nucleotides. RefSeq lists it as uncharacterized. The transcript has 3 exons. Lineage: Eukaryota; Metazoa; Arthropoda; Insecta; Hymenoptera; Cynipidae. The record is from RefSeq and is a predicted model, not a curated record.